GAUGAAGAACGUAGUGAAAUGCGAUAAGUAAUGUGAAUUGCAGAAUUCAGUGAAUCAUCGAAUCUUUGAACGCACAUUGCGCCCGUCAGUAUUCUGGCGGGCAUGCCUGUUCGAGCGUCAUUACGCCCCUCAAGUCCCCUGUGGACUUGGUGUUGGGGAUCGGCGAGGCUGGUUUUCCAGCACAGCCGUCCCUUAAAUUAAUUGGCGGUCUCGCCGUGGCCCUCCUCUGCGCAGUAGUAAAACACUCGCAACAGGAGCCCGGCGCGGUCCACUGCCGUAAAACCCCCAACUUUUUAUAGUUGACCUCGAAUCAGGUAGGACUACCCGCUGAACUUAAGCAUAUCAAUAAGCGGAGGA
This 357-nucleotide unclassified non-coding RNA is filed under the name soil metagenome. RNAcentral's name for it is "partial contains 5.8S ribosomal RNA, internal transcribed spacer 2, and large subunit ribosomal RNA". The stretch from base 1 to 120 matches the Rfam family "5.8S ribosomal RNA", at positions 35 to 154 of the family's 154-position model. The record is from RNAcentral.